CGCGUGCCUCAAAUCGACCGGCUGGGUCUUCUGUCCCCUAAGCGUUGUGGAAACUAUUCGCUAAAGGGUGUUCGGGAGGUACGCCGUAAAACAACCCCAUUCUAAGGUGACCUCGAUCAGAGAGGUCGCGCAAC
Molecule: ribosomal RNA, 134 nt
Filed under: Cladosporium sp.
Lineage: Eukaryota; Fungi; Ascomycota; Dothideomycetes; Cladosporiales; Cladosporiaceae
Description: partial 28S ribosomal RNA
Source: RNAcentral